This 253-nucleotide ribosomal RNA is filed under the name uncultured bacterium. Its description in RNAcentral is "partial 16S ribosomal RNA". It matches the Rfam family "Bacterial small subunit ribosomal RNA", at positions 524 to 776 of the family's 1533-position model. The record is from RNAcentral.
UACAGAGGUCUCAAGCGUUGUUCGGAUUCAUUGGGCGUAAAGGGUGCGUAGGUGGCGCCGUAAGUCGGGUGUGAAAUUUCGGAGCUUAACUCCGAAACUGCAUUCGAUACUGCGGUGCUUGAGGACUGUAGAGGAGACUGGAAUUCAUGGUGUAGCAGUGAAAUGCGUAGAGAUCAUGAGGAAGACCAGUGGCGAAGGCGGGUCUCUGGACAGUUCCUGACACUGAGGCACGAAGGCCAGGGGAGCAAACGGG